CCUACGGGUGGCAGCAGUCGAGAAUCAUUCACAAUGGGGGAAAGCCUGAUGGUGCGACGCCGCGUGGGGGAAUGAAGGUCUUCGGAUUGUAAACCCCUGUCAUGUGGGAGCAAAUUAAAAAGAUAGUACCACAAGAGGAAGAGACGGCUAAAUCUGUCCCAGCAGCCGCUGUAAUACAGAGGUCUCAAGCGUUGUUCGGAAUCACUGGGCGUAAGGCGUGCGUAGGCUGUUUCUUAAGUCGUGUGUGAAAGGCGCGGGCUCAAGCCGCGGGCGGCACAGGAUCCUGGGAGACUAGAGGAAUGGAGGGGGAAUCGGAAUUCUCGGUGUAGCAGUGAAAUGCGUAGAUAUUGGGAGGAACACUCGGGGCGAGGGCGGGUUCCUGGACAUUAACUGACGCUGAGGCACGAAGGCCAGGGGAGCGAAAGGGAUUAGAUACCCUGGUAGUC
This 446-nucleotide ribosomal RNA is filed under the name uncultured bacterium. Its description in RNAcentral is "partial 16S ribosomal RNA". It matches the Rfam family "Bacterial small subunit ribosomal RNA", at positions 338 to 795 of the family's 1533-position model. The record is from RNAcentral.